Molecule: long non-coding RNA, 1054 nt
Filed under: Brassica napus (rape)
Lineage: Eukaryota; Viridiplantae; Streptophyta; Magnoliopsida; Brassicales; Brassicaceae
Description: long non-coding RNA (BNAP_LNC004838)
Source: RNAcentral
UUUUUCUCACUAUAAGUAUCCUCUCCUUGUAGCCAUAGGUUUUUAUCUUCUCCAAGUCAUCACCACUAAUAAUUUUCAAACAUAAAUUUCUUUUUAUCAUCUUAAUCAGAAAACGAAGAUGAAGCUCGUGAUUGUAAGAUGUAUUGGGAGCCGCCAGUAGGAGUUCGCCCUAUUUCUUUUUCUCUCCCAAACAGCCGCCAGUAAAAGUUCAAGCUUUUUGAAGAUUUGCUUUUCCGGCGGUUGGCCUCUGCGCCUCCGUCCGGAGGGGCUCCCUCUCCUUUCUUCUUUUAUCGGCUCUCUUCUCUGUUUGCUCAGUUUUAGCAGGGAAGACGAGAGGUCAUAGGUUUGAAACAUACUUCCCGGUGAUAGUUGUGGCGGAUCUCUCCGGUGUAGACGUGUGGCGUACUUGGCGUCUCUCCGUCGGUUUCACUGCCUCUGUCGGUCUCAUCUCUUGUCCUCUUUCGGGAUGAGAUGGUGACAUCGUUAGUCCCCUCUGCUCUUUCACGGUGGAUGAGGGUUUGAGGACUACUUUCACAACCAGUCAGAUGCAGUGGAAAGGGCUUGCGGUUUCACCUCAGGUAGGUGGCAUAUGUCUUCGAUGCGUGUUGCUUCUCCUUCACAGGUGCGGCUUGGACGGAAGUCUUGGGUUUGGGCUCCUCCAGCGAGAGCUCUCACCGGCGACGGCUGGUGGUGGUGCUUCAACGAGGGUGGAUUUCAGAGGUCUGCCUUUGGUGUUUGCUCUCUGGGCCUUCUCAGAUCUGUAGGUUCCGGUGUGGCUCCUUCCGCUUCUUGUGUUGUAUGUGUUCUUUUCGGCUAGGUUUCAUAGGUACCUUCUGGUAUGGUUCAUCUUCGACUUUGAUUUGUUCCGUUCAAGCGCUGGUGGUGACAGUGUAGAAUAGAGGCUGCGAUUUAGCUUUGGCGACUCUGUUGCAUCUGUGGGAGAUGAUUCUCGAGGCUUCUAUAGCUUGAGGAAGUGGUUGGAGGCGGCUUCUCGAACUGCCCAUAGAAGCUCCCGUGCCGCCGGAUGUAACUUGUUGUUUGAAGUUGUCUCGUU